GUGUGAUCAGGCAUGUGCCUUGGCUUGGGUGGUUGCCACGGCCUGAAGUGUGCAGACAGCAGGGCCUGUGGAGCAGUGGGUGGUCAGGAUGGGGCAACUCACAGAUUUACGAGCCAGAAAGUUAGGCAGAGAAAGCUGUGACUUAGGAACCACACAGAGGAAGAAGAGAACUGGGAGUGGCUGUAAUCAGUACAGCCCGAGGGCAGACAGACACCUUGGACAAACAGCAUCCAACCAGAACGGUGAGAUAGGAUUCAGGCUUCACACACAAAGAUGUCAGUCUGGAAACAAAACAGGUCUCAGUAGUGACUCCCUCUCCAUUCCAUAUCUGGAGAUGCUGGAAAGAAUCCACUUGUUCAAAAAUGAAGGAAGAAGUUUCUGUGGACUAAUUUCUCUUUUUUCAUCAUUGGUCUCUUUUCUUCUUGAGUGACACAUGUCCCCAUAAUUCCUUCUGCGGUGAUGCAAGAGUGGAGGUCUCCAUCUGUAGCUACUUUCUGCUGAACAAGGUUGCAGGUCCUAUCCAUGAGCAAUUAGGUGAUCUCCAACUACCCUGGAGUGUUGUGCCUCCCAGACUGGGUUGAAAAAAAAAUAAUCUGACAGAAGAUGGUGAGAAGAGUUCGUGACUGUUGAGCUGCCUGUUUAAUGAGAAAAAGCUUCAUGUACUUUUCUAUCAGAAGACACUCAAAUGUUCUGGCGUGCCUGAUCCAUGUUGCUACUGGUAACUCCCUUCAACCAGGAACGUGCCUGUUAUUAAACAAGUUAAUAUGGUUGCAGCGAGGAAAAACAACAUAAAGACCGUCGUGCAUAUUGUGUGCCGUACUGUCCUGUAAUGAUAUGAUACAUACCAUGCCAAUGUGAUGAGAUGGAGUGAAGUGAAUGAUUUGGUAUUGGACCUUAGCAUCAGGCCACUGAGGAAGAUUCACUUCAACCAAAGCACUACAGUAGCAAGACGGUUGAUAUUAACUAUUCAACUGAAAUGACAAACCUACAGGUGGUGUUCCCAGCAUGGAUUCACAGGACAAAGUGAUAUUCAAGCCCAUGUCUGUUGCCAGUGCUUUUUAAGCCAUUGGUCUUGGGAGAAUAGCAGUUCACCGUACCUUUCUUCAAUAUUUCAUGGAGGGGCACAUCACCGUUCACUCAUCUAUUUAGCAGUGACCAUGCUGUGAAUCGCUGAGGACACGGACAGCUGUGUUACCUGCUUCAUUGCUCUUUCAGAGUGGCCAGGACCCAGACACGGAGAAACGAAAUUAUACUACCAGUAACUUGUAGGAACCAUUUUGAUUUGAGAGUGAAAAGCUCAAAUACCUAUGGACCCAAAAAGAAAUCUGCAAAAUGUAUAAAAGCUGGAAAAUAGAAUGGAGUCUUUUUAGUUCUGAUCUUCAUCUUGGGAUUAUUCAUGUCACCUUCAAGAAAUUUAUGAAGGAGCCCUUACAGCAUGUCUUUAUUAUUUUCCAGUUACACGGAUUGUGGAAAAUAUGCUGAUGACUCCCAAGUCAUCAAGGAACAAUGUUACUCAAUUACAUAAUAACGUCGUUCUUUCAGUCAACAAAUAUUUUAUUCAAAAAUAUUUAGUGAGACCAUACUUUAUACCUGGCUGUAUUCCAGGCUCUGGCAAUCUAGCAGUGAACAAGACAGAUAUCCUUCCCUAUGGAGCAUGUACUCUAGUAUAUUUUCUUGGAUCAGCAAAACAACCAGAACAUUUUUCAAUAAUUCAGUAUUAAAAUGCUAAUAUAGCCUCAAAAUAAAGAAAUGGAUCUUCUA
This is a long non-coding RNA of Chinchilla lanigera (long-tailed chinchilla), 1761 nucleotides long. RefSeq lists it as uncharacterized. The transcript is spliced from 6 exons. The record is from RefSeq and is a predicted model, not a curated record. Lineage: Eukaryota; Metazoa; Chordata; Mammalia; Rodentia; Chinchillidae.